AAUCUAUGGAAAGCUAAGAUUCCUCUAAAAGUUAAAGUUUUCAUCUGGUUGGUCUUUAGGGACAGUGUGUUGACUAGAGAUAAUUUAGCUAAAAGAAAUUGGAAAGGUAAAGAUAAAAGUUGCAGUUUUUGUGAUCAUUCUGAAACCGUAGAGCAUCUUUUUUGCACUUGUGUGGUAGCCAAGUUUGUGUGGGGGGUUGUUAGGAAUGUCACUGGUAUUUAUGAUAUUCCUUGCAAAAUUAAAGAGUUCAGGAGCUGGAUAGAGAUGUUUCCUAAGAAGAUGAGACAAAUAGUAGCACUGGGUGUAGCGGUGGUAUUCUGGUCUUUAUGGAAAUCCAGAAACGCUGCCACUUUUCAUCAUAUUUACCCACAUGAUCCGAGUGUGCUGUUUUUUCAAAUAGCUUACUGGAUGUCGUACUGGGUUGGCUUAUAG
RNAcentral lists this ribosomal RNA (432 nucleotides) under Triticum aestivum (bread wheat). RNAcentral describes it as "partial small subunit ribosomal RNA". Lineage: Eukaryota; Viridiplantae; Streptophyta; Magnoliopsida; Poales; Poaceae. The record is from RNAcentral.